RNAcentral lists this ribosomal RNA (252 nucleotides) under uncultured Bacteroidales bacterium. RNAcentral's name for it is "partial 16S ribosomal RNA". It matches the Rfam family "Bacterial small subunit ribosomal RNA", at positions 524 to 776 of the family's 1533-position model. The record is from RNAcentral. Lineage: Bacteria; Pseudomonadati; Bacteroidota; Bacteroidia; Bacteroidales.
UACGGAGGAUGCGAGCGUUAUCCGGAUUUAUUGGGUUUAAAGGGUGCGUAGGCGGUCCGUUAAGUCAGCGGUAAAAUGUCCGGGCUCAACCCGGGCCGGCCGUUGAAACUGGGGAUCUUGAGUGGGCGAGAAGUAUGCGGAAUGCGUGGUGUAGCGGUGAAAUGCAUAGAUAUCACGCAGAACCCCGAUUGCGAAGGCAGCAUGCCGGCUUCCGACUGACGCUGAAGCACGAAAGCGUGGGUAUCGAACAGG